ACGCUGGCGGCAGGCCUCAUACAUGCAAGUUGAACGAGAAAGUAUCUUCGGAUGCGAGUACAGUGGCGGACGGGUGAGUAAUACAUAGGAAUCUACCCAAUGGAGGGGGAUAGCUCGAGGAAACUCGAAUUAAUACCGCAUAAUCUCCACGGAGUAAAGAGGGCUUCGGCUCUCGCCAUCGGAUGAGCCUAUGCAAGAUUAGCUUGUUGGUAAGGUAAUGGCUUACCAAGGCUACGAUCUUUAGCUGGUUUGAGAGGACGACCAGCCACAUCGGGACUGAGACACGGCCCGGACUUCUACGGAAGGCAGCAGUAGGGAAUAUUGGACAAUGAGCGAAAGCUUGAUCCAGCCAUGCCGCGUGUGCGAUGAAGACCUUAGGGUUGUAAAGCACUUUAGGUUAUGAGAAAAGAUUUGGUAUUAAUACCACCAAAUUUUGAUGUUAAUUUCAGAAUAAGCACCGGCUAAAUCCGUGCCAGCAGCCGCGGUAAUACGGAUGGUGCAAGCGUUAAUCGGAAUUACUGGGCGUAAAGCGCGCGUAGGUGGCUUAUCAAGUUAGAUGUGAAAUCCCGAGGCUUAACCUCGGAACUGCAUCUAAAACUGAUAAGCUAGAGUACUAGAGAGGAAAGUAGAAUUCUUAGUGUAGCGGUGGAAUGCGUAGAUAUUAAGAGGAAUACCAAUGGCGAAGGCAACUUUCUGGAUAGAUACUGACACUGAGGUGCGAAAGCGUGGGGAGCAAACAGGAUUAGAUACCCUGGUAGUCCACGCCGUAAACGAUGAUAACUAGCCGUUGGAAUUUUCAGUGGCGCAGCUAACGCAAUAAGUUAUCCGCCUGGGGAG
Molecule: ribosomal RNA, 837 nt
Filed under: uncultured Gammaproteobacteria bacterium
Lineage: Bacteria; Pseudomonadati; Pseudomonadota; Gammaproteobacteria
Description: bacterial SSU rRNA
Rfam family: Bacterial small subunit ribosomal RNA
Source: RNAcentral